CCUUGAAAAAGCAUGGAUAUAAAACUGGAAUGGUUGGUAAAUGGCAUCUAGGGAUAAAUGAGUUUCACAAUGAUGAUGGCCGUCAUCUUCCUAUUCACCAUGGAUUUGACACCGUGGGCUACAACUUACCCUUUACAAACCACUGGCAGUGUGAUGAUAUUGGUGUACAUCUAGAGCAUCCACUGCGUUCAAUAUGUUUUUUGUACUAUAACACGACAAUAGUUCA
Anneissia japonica is the source of this 226-nucleotide long non-coding RNA. RefSeq lists it as uncharacterized. NCBI's taxonomy places the organism in Eukaryota, Metazoa, Echinodermata, Crinoidea, Comatulida, Comatulidae. The record is from RefSeq and is a predicted model, not a curated record. The transcript has 3 exons.